Molecule: long non-coding RNA, 724 nt
Organism: Sciurus carolinensis (gray squirrel)
Lineage: Eukaryota; Metazoa; Chordata; Mammalia; Rodentia; Sciuridae
Exons: 3
Source: RefSeq, a predicted model, not a curated record
GGUAGGUGCGCAUCUACCUCCCUGUGGGAGCAGCUGGCCACGGGAGCGCCCUUUCAGCAGAGGCUCCCUGGCGUGUUCUGUACGGGGCAACCGCCAACCCCUGAACUCAGAUUUUGGUGUUGCUGUUGGUGAAGGAUCUCAGCUCUCCAGAAGGCACACAGAUGAAGUGAGAAGGUUGCUGGGACCAAGGGAGAGGAGAGGCGCAGAGAGCCUGCUGGACUGGGCGGCUGCUGCAGCCUUCCUGGAGGCCAAGUUCAUGACCAGAGGUCUCUUCCCCUUUAGGGCAGACUCUCCUGCCUGGCAGCCUGGGGACUCCUGGAAAUCCGAAAGGUGCUGACUAGUAUUAUGCUGAUCUCUGUUGACACCACAGAACAUUGCUUAUCAGCAGUUGCACACCUCAGGAGAUGGUAAAGAGGCACUUGAGAAGGUCCACGUGUCCAUCGCCUUUGGGACCCCGCAGUUCCAAGGAAGUGGUAGUGUGUUUGUGGAGGGAUGUGUUUUCUCCUGAAGAGAACACACAUGGAAGCACAGUGCAACAAAGCAGAGCUCAGCUCAUCUCGGGGGCUGCCCACACCCGCUGAGUCACUCAUAAUGGCCCCUCAGAUGUCAUUUUCUUGCUAAGACAUUUGGAAAAAUUUCUGCUUCUGAAUCACAAGCAAACACUAUAAUUCAACAAUCUUCUCUGAGUUAUUCAAGGAACUUCAAGGCACUCAGAAGUGGAAGA